Molecule: ribosomal RNA, 492 nt
Filed under: uncultured bacterium
Lineage: Bacteria
Description: partial 16S ribosomal RNA
Rfam family: Bacterial small subunit ribosomal RNA
Source: RNAcentral
AGUGAACGCUGGCGGUAGGCCUAACACAUGCAAGUCGAACGGCAGCACAGUAAGAGCUUGCUCUUACGGGUGGCGAGUGGCGGACGGGUGAGGAAUACAUCGGAAUCUACUUUUUCGUGGGGGAUAACGUAGGGAAACUUACGCUAAUACCGCAUACGACCUACGGGUGAAAGCAGGGGAUCUUCGGACCUUUCGCGAUUGAAUGAGCCGAUGUCGGAUUAGCUAGUUGGCAGGGUAAAGGCCCACCAAGGCGACGAUCCGUAGCUGGUCUGAGAGGAUGAUCAGCCACACUGGAACUGAGACACGGUCCAGACUCCUACGGGAGGCAGCAGUGGGGAAUAUUGGACAAUGGGCGCAAGCCUGAUGCAGCCAUACCGCGUGGGUGAAGAAGGCCUUCGGGUUGUAAAGCCCUUUUGUUGGGAAAGAAAAGCAGCAGGUUAAUAUCCCGCUGUUCUGACGGUACCCAAAGAAUAAGCACCGGCUAACUUCGUG